GUGGGGAAUAUUGGACAAUGGGCGCAAGCCUGAUCCAGCCAUGCCGCGUGAGUGAUGAAGGCCUUAGGGUUGUAAAGCUCUUUCACCGGAGAAGAUAAUGACGGUAUCCGGAGAAGAAGCCCCGGCUAACUUCGUGCCAGCAGCCGCGGUAAUACGAAGGGGGCUAGCGUUGUUCGGAAUUACUGGGCGUAAAGCGCACGUAGGCGGAUAUUUAAGUCAGGGGUGAAAUCCCAGAGCUCAACUCUGGAACUGCCUUUGAUACUGGGUAUCUUGAGUAUGGAAGAGGUAAGUGGAAUUCCGAGUGUAGAGGUGAAAUUCGUAGAUAUUCGGAGGAACACCAGUGGCGAAGGCGGCUUACUGGUCCAUUACUGACGCUGAGGUGCGAAAGCGUGGGGAGCAAACAGGAUUAGAAACCCUAGUAGUCCC
Molecule: ribosomal RNA, 426 nt
Filed under: uncultured bacterium
Lineage: Bacteria
Description: bacterial SSU rRNA
Rfam family: Bacterial small subunit ribosomal RNA
Source: RNAcentral